RNAcentral lists this long non-coding RNA (204 nucleotides) under Homo sapiens (human). RNAcentral describes it as "HSALNT0180165". Lineage: Eukaryota; Metazoa; Chordata; Mammalia; Primates; Hominidae. The record is from RNAcentral.
UUGAUAUGCCCUUCACAAAAAGGCAAAAUCAAGACUCAUCAAUAUUUAGCAGCUGAGAAUCUCUACUGAAGACAAUCAAAAAUAUUUGGGAAGAUUUAUGUCAACAUCUGAAGCAGCAAAGAAUAUUUACCUUCAUAGACUGUAGCAAUGAUUUUGAAUGAACCUGCACAUGCCACAUUUUAACCUAUUAAUGAGGAUCAUGUA